RNAcentral lists this ribosomal RNA (831 nucleotides) under Desulfopila sp. IMCC35006. RNAcentral's name for it is "Bacterial small subunit ribosomal RNA". It matches the Rfam family "Bacterial small subunit ribosomal RNA", at positions 8 to 795 of the family's 1533-position model. The record is from Rfam by way of RNAcentral. Lineage: Bacteria; Pseudomonadati; Thermodesulfobacteriota; Desulfobulbia; Desulfobulbales; Desulfocapsaceae.
AGAGUUUGAUCAUGGCUCAGGAUGAACGCCGGCGGUGUGCCUAAUACAUGCAAGUCGUACGCACUGGCCCAACUGAUUGAUGGUGCUUGCACCUGAUUGACGAUGGAUCACCAGUGAGUGGCGGACGGGUGAGUAACACGUAGGUAACCUGCCCCGGAGCGGGGGAUAACAUUUGGAAACAGAUGCUAAUACCGCAUAACAACAAAAGCCACAUGGCUUUUGUUUGAAAGAUGGCUUUGGCUAUCACUCUGGGAUGGACCUGCGGUGCAUUAGCUAGUUGGUAAGGUAACGGCUUACCAAGGCGACGAUGCAUAGCCGAGUUGAGAGACUGAUCGGCCACAAUGGAACUGAGACACGGUCCAUACUCCUACGGGUGGCUGCAGUAGGGAAUCUUCGGCAAUGGGGGCAACCCUGACCGAGCAACGCCGCGUGAGUGAAGAAGGUUUUCGGAUCGUAAAGCUCUGUUGUAAGAGAAGAACGUGUGUGAGAGUGGAAAGUUCACACAGUGACGGUAACUUACCAGAAAGGGACGGCUAACUACGUGCCAGCAGCCGCGGUAAUACGUAGGUCCCGAGCGUUAUCCGGAUUUAUUGGGCGUAAAGCGAGCGCAGGCGGUUGGAUAAGUCUGAAGUUAAAGGCUGUGGCUUAACCAUAGUAUGCUUUGGAAACUGUUCAACUUGAGUGCAGAAGGGGAGAGUGGAAUUCCAUGUGUAGCGGUGGAAUGCGUAGAUAUAUGGAGGAACACCGGUGGCGAAAGCGGCUCUCUGGUCUGUAACUGACGCUGAGGCUCGAAAGCGUGGGUAGCGAACAGGAUUAGAUACCCCGGUAGUC